CAGCCGCCGCGGUAAAACGAAGGGUGCAAGCGUUACUCGGAAUUACUGGGCGUAAAGCGUGCGUAGGUGGUGGUUUAAGUCCGUUGUGAAAGCCCUGGGCUCAACCUGGGAAUUGCAGUGGAUACUGGGUCACUAGAGUGUGGUAGAGGAUAGUGGAAUUUCCGGUGUAGCAGUGAAAUGCGUAGAGAUCGGAAGGAACAUCUGUGGCGAAGGCGACUAUCUGGGCCAACACUGACACUGAGGCACGAAAGCGUGGGGAGCAAACAGGAUUAGAUACCCGCGUAGUCCCUGUCUCUUAUAA
This 301-nucleotide ribosomal RNA is filed under the name uncultured bacterium. RNAcentral's name for it is "partial 16S ribosomal RNA". It matches the Rfam family "Bacterial small subunit ribosomal RNA", at positions 509 to 809 of the family's 1533-position model. The record is from RNAcentral.